CCUACUAAUGUGUUCGGAUGAUAUUCUUUAUCGCUGUUAAGUGUAGCGUAACAUCCGAGUGGUCGAUUUGACCUCUAACGAGACCAGCCUCGAGACCGUGCGAGAUCUGCACCAGUUCCUGUAAGAUUUAGACAGGAAGUAGAUGUGUGUUUUGGGAUUUAUGCAUUUAAUGUGUUUUUGACAAAGAAGGUUUAAAACCUUUGUGGAUGUGGAUAUUGAAACUCCUUAAAACUCUUGAAGGAUGAGGAAAAGGAACCAUUGAAAUGGAACAUGUUGGACAGGGUUAUCACGAUCAUGCAUUUAUAAAAGAUGACAGCAUAUCAGCACUGCCUUAAGAUUGGAGUUGAGACCUUGUAUUUUUUACACGGAAAAUAAAGAACAGUUGCUGAAUGAAACAGAUGCUCGCAGAAGCAAAUGUAAUGAGCCCAGAAUAAUGGUGAUCAAUUUUGAAUGAUUUCAUUCUCUGGUUGAAAUGAUACUGAUCCAAUUUGGUUGACAAUGAAUACUAAGUAUUUUGUUGUAUAUAAGUAUAAUGGUUUGUUUUAAAACUGUAUAAAGCUUGAUAUAUAAUGUAACGAUAUUAUGUAGGAAUCAAUAUUUUUUGAAGGAUAAAAGAUGUAAUUUUUUUUCAAUCAGAAUUUCCUAAAAAGACUUUCUAAUGUAAAUACAUGUAUGAAUAAUAGAAGUUUAUAAUCCUUUAUUUUACUGCCAUUGAAAUACUGUAGUAAU
Saccostrea cuccullata (small rock oyster) is the source of this 729-nucleotide long non-coding RNA. RefSeq lists it as uncharacterized. The transcript is spliced from 3 exons. Lineage: Eukaryota; Metazoa; Mollusca; Bivalvia; Ostreida; Ostreidae. The record is from RefSeq and is a predicted model, not a curated record.